This 218-nucleotide small nucleolar RNA is filed under the name Nelumbo nucifera (sacred lotus). RNAcentral describes it as "Small nucleolar RNA Z112". It matches the Rfam family "Small nucleolar RNA Z112". Rfam says of the family: Z112 is a member of the C/D class of snoRNA which contain the C (UGAUGA) and D (CUGA) box motifs. Most of the members of the box C/D family function in directing site-specific 2'-O-methylation of substrate RNAs. The record is from Rfam by way of RNAcentral. Lineage: Eukaryota; Viridiplantae; Streptophyta; Magnoliopsida; Proteales; Nelumbonaceae.
UUCUCGAUGAGGAAGAAAGCCCUCGAUAAGAAGUGCCGUAUGACACUCCAAACAGCAGCGGCGCAGUCUCUUGUUUCCCGCAUAAAACCAACGACUCUCCUCUGAUUUGUUUCAAUUUUAUUGAUUCGCUUUCUUAGGGUUCCGUUUGGUUUGUUGGGAAUUGGGAUUAUUGGCUUGCGCCCGCUGUGCGUAUGAUUUGAAAUGGGUCUCUAAGGGUU